This 3423-nucleotide long non-coding RNA is filed under the name Sus scrofa (pig). RNAcentral describes it as "lncRNA (ENSSSCG00035062119.1)". Lineage: Eukaryota; Metazoa; Chordata; Mammalia; Artiodactyla; Suidae. The record is from RNAcentral.
GUCUUUAAGACAGCUUUGCUCUGCCAAAUUAACAAGAACCCAGAUUCCUUUUAUCUUGGUGUAUUUAUUUGUUUAUUAUCUUACUUUUGGCCAGGGCUGUGGCCUGCAGAAGUUCCUGUGUCAGGGAUCAAACCCACACCACAGCAGUGAUAAUGCCAGAUCUUUAACUCAUGAGGCCACCAGGGAACUCACUUUAUCUUUUUGGUUUGCCAUUCAACAGGCUAUCUCCCAUGCCUGGUGCAAGUUGCAGCCACAUUCUAAUCAGCAAGAUGGAGGAAAGAGGAUACAGGCUUGUAUAAGAAGAGAGACGGAAGAGGAUCAAAGAAGAUCAACGUGAGCCCUGAAAAGUCAGAGAUUCUGCCCAGAGCUGGAUGAGUUCUGACAGCAGCGGAGGGAGCAGCUAGAGGCAAGUGGAGAACCAAUAUUUUUGGCACGCUGAUGGUGACAUCACUGGCUUUGUCUCUGGGAUUGUUGCCCACUGAAUGAAUUGAUUCUUGCUUGUUUUCCUCUCCUAGAUUAGGGAGUUGUAUAUGAUAAAAGAGUGUUUUCUCCUGUGUUGGCUGAUAAUUGCAUGGCAAAGAUAACUUCUUCAUUGCACUUAUUACAGAGAGUUAAUAUAGCCAAUUUUACAAUAAAUAAUUACCGAUUGCAGUAUAUAAUUACCUACUGUAAUAUAUAAUUACAUAUUGGUAAAAUUUAUCUAAUUAAUAUCAUUUUCCCUUGAUAACACUGUUUUUUAAAAAACCUAUUAAAAAACCACUCAAUAUAGGGGGGAAAAGUGCUAAAUUGAAUUGCAUUUGGUUCCUAGCCCAGGAAAACCAGGAUGAAUGAGGCAGUGUUUUUCUCUGUUACAGAACAAAAUGAGCUUUCUAAGUUAGGGUUUGUUGAUUCUCAAGCUCUUAAUUUCAUGUGUUUUGAGUAGGCUGUGGCUGUGGUGAUUGCAUUAUUAAAGUUUUUUAUUGCGAAGUAUCAUACACUAAUGGAAAAAUGCACAAAACAGAAAUAAAUAAUCAAAAAGUAAACACUCAUCUGUCCAUCCAGGACAGGAAAUGAAACACUACAACCCUGAAGCCUCACUCAUACCCCUUCCCAACCACCACUCUGUCUCCCCGCAAAGGGUAAACACUGUCUUGACUUAACAGUGUAGCCUGGUUUCACCUAUUUUGGACUUUCUUUGAGUAGAAUCAUACAUUUGCUUAAGAUACAUGUCUUUAGAAGCAAAAAUUUGGUACUUAUAUAUACCACUGGGUCAGUGAGAUGAGAUAUUUGAAAUGGGGGGACUGCCUCAAAACCCACAGCCCAAUGGUCCAUGAAAGUUCAUUCUAGGUUCAUGCUUAUUCUCCAGAAGAAAGAACAAGGUUGAUGGGCCAGUUCCAGAGACCCAGAAGCUCUUCCUGGAAACCAGCAACUUCACAGCAAAUACAGUAUCUAAGUUAUCUUUGGGAAGAAUCAAGGAAGAUUUUAUAACCAAUUAGGCACUGACAGAUGGGAUUUAGUGAAGAAGAAGGAGGAGGAAGAGAAAAAGGAAGAGGAGGAAGAGAGGGGAAGAAAGAAGGAGAAAGAUUGAAGGUAGAGAGAGGGAAGGUUUUGGCUUCUUUCUUAAUCAUUUUAGGAGUGGUCAUUGGAUAGAAGCAUCCAUAGUAAACCUGAUUUGCUUACAGAUCAAUAACUACUUGAACCAAGAAAGAGAGAAUAAAAAUUUAAAAAUAAAGAGUUAGAGUUAACAUCAGUCAGCUUUUAGGGAGUUUUGCUAUGUAACAACAAACUUCCAAAUAUCAAGAGCUUAAUAAAGUCUUUUUCCUUAUUUAUCUUACUUCCACUGUAGUAGGCUGCAAAUCUUUUCCUUGUGUCUUUUUCUUCUGCAGAACAAGCUUAAAGAGCCAUUCUGAUCUGGGACAUCUAUUCUUGAGGCAGAAGGAAGUGAAAACGAGGUGGCAGAGCCACUCAGUAGCUAUUGAAACUUUUGAUUGGGCCUGCCGUGUGUCAUUUCUGUUUAGAUUUCCUUAACAAAGCCAUGUCACUUGGCCACAUUGACACUUGUCUUUUCUGGGAAAGCAAAUAAUAGGGAAAAAUGAUGACUGUUUAUAAGGGUCAUUUUCUAAUCAAGAUCAACCAGAAAUUAUCAUAUGAAAAUCAGAGGGCAGGAGAGGAAAUUCCUCCAAAUUCAGUGAACCUCAGCCAGAAUCUAUCCUUUUUAGUGGAUUAUUUGUGUAAGAAAAUUCACUAGACAAACAUUCCUGUUAGAAGCCCAUACAGUCCCUGUAUGAACAGUGACUUCUGUGGGAAAUAUCUUUUACUCGAUGCACUAGGUUUACAAUAAAUUCUUUGUUUUCUUGGAAAACCUGAAGAAUUCUAAGGGUAUAAUUCAGAUGAAAAGAAGAGCUAUAGCCUAAUCCCUGCUUUGCACCCAGGAGCCUCUGCGUACAGGCUGGAUUUUCAGUGUCUCUUCUGUUCUAUAAUCUGCCUUUUGAUGGACUUCUCUGUGAGGAUAUAAACGAUCCAUCUUAAAGCAAAAGUCGACUGUGAUGUAUUUUCAGAAAUUUCAUGAUAUCCUAUCUUUGCUGACAACAUGAAUCCUAUCUUCAUACUGAACAGACAAAAUCAUUCCCUGUGUCUUCAGAUUUUUGCAAGGACGUAGGGGCAUAAGCUUUCUUAAUUCCAGCAACACUUUUUUAGUCUUGUAGAAAUUGUUUUCUUGAAACUCUGUUUCUCUUUGAAAUCAGCAUUUUUUGCCUACUUUUCAGUGACUCAGCCUGAUGGAUUAUCUGCCUUACAAGUUGAGUCAGGAGACUUUGGGGAGAUUAUAGCAGAAACUGGAUUUCAGAUUUCAGAAAAGCAAGUCUGACACCUUCUGGAAAGCCUGUAACUGUUGCACUUACAAGUAGUUCCUUUGUCAGGGAUAGUAAGAUGGGUCCUAGGAACCUCACUUAGAAGAGGGGUUUCCGGAGUUCCCGUCGUGGAGCAGCGGAUAUGAAUCCGACUAGGAACCAUGAGGUUGCGGGUACUAUCCCUGGCCUCAUUCAGUGGGUUAAGGAUCUGGCGUUGCUGUGAGCUGUGGUGUAGGUCACAGACACAGCUCAGAUCUGGAGCUGCUGUGGCAUAAGCCAGCAGCUGUUGCUCCGAUUAGACCCCUAGCCUGGGAACCUCCAUGUGCCAUGUGUGUGUCCUAAAAAGCAACAACAACAAAAAAAAGAGGGGUUCCUGACCUGAGUGGGAUUCAGGGCUACAUGAAAUUAGAUGGGCCAAACCUUGCAUCUCUAUUUCCAUAAAUUUCUUUUGAAAUUAACACUUAAAGAGGAGUUCCCUGGUGGUUCAGUGGGCUAAGUUGUCACUGCUGUGGGGCUAGAUACUGCUGUAGCAUGGGUUCAAUCCCUGACUUUGGAACUUCCAUGUGCCAUGGGCAUGGCCAAAAAAAAAAAAAAA